This 499-nucleotide ribosomal RNA is filed under the name uncultured Glomeromycotina. RNAcentral's name for it is "partial small subunit ribosomal RNA". It matches the Rfam family "Eukaryotic small subunit ribosomal RNA", at positions 591 to 1092 of the family's 1831-position model. Lineage: Eukaryota; Fungi; Glomeromycota. The record is from RNAcentral.
CCAAUAGCGUAUAUUAAAGUUGUUGCAGUUAAAAAGCUCGUAGUUGAAUUUCGGGAUCAAAUUGUCGGUCGUGCCUCGGUACGUACUGGUAUUAUUGGUUCCUCCCUUCUGACGAACCACGAUGUCAUUAAUUUGGUGUCAUGGGAAAUCAGGACUGUUACUUUGAAAAAAUUAGAGUGUUUAAAGCAGGCUCGCGCUUGAAUACAUUAGCAUGGAAUAAUGAAAUAGGACGUUUGAUUCUAUUUUGUUGGUUUCUAGGAUCGACGUAAUGAUUAAUAGGGAUAGUUGGGGGCAUUAGUAUUCAAUUGUCAGAGGUGAAGUUAUUGGAUUUAUUGAAGACUAACUACUGCGAAAGCAUUUGCCAAGGAUGUUUUCAUUAAUCAAGAACGAAAGUUAGGGGAUCGAAGACGAUCAGAUACCGUCGUAGUCUUAACCAUAAACUAUGCCGACUAGGGAUCGGAUGAUGUUAAUUUUUUAAUGACUCAUUCGGCGCCUUACG